RNAcentral lists this transfer RNA (98 nucleotides) under Fusarium solani. RNAcentral's name for it is "tRNA-Pro". It matches the Rfam family "tRNA". Rfam says of the family: Transfer RNA (tRNA) molecules are approximately 80 nucleotides in length. Their secondary structure includes four short double-helical elements and three loops (D, anti-codon, and T loops). Further hydrogen bonds mediate the characteristic L-shaped molecular structure. tRNAs have two regions of fundamental functional importance: the anti-codon, which is responsible for specific mRNA codon recognition, and the 3' end, to which the tRNAs corresponding amino acid is attached (by aminoacyl-tRNA synthetases). tRNAs cope with the degeneracy of the genetic code in two manners: having more than one tRNA (with a specific anti-codon) for a particular amino acid; and 'wobble' base-pairing, i.e. permitting non-standard base-pairing at the 3rd anti-codon position. Lineage: Eukaryota; Fungi; Ascomycota; Sordariomycetes; Hypocreales; Nectriaceae. RNAcentral also lists the same sequence under 2 other names. The record is from RNAcentral.
GGCCUGAUGGUCUAGUGGUAUGAUUCGUGCUUCGGGCAAUUACCCAGUUCUCUUAGAGAAAAUGUGCGAGGUCCCGGGUUCAAACCCCGGUCAGGCCC